CUGCAUGUUUGUUUCUUGCAAAUGUUGUUCAAGUAAUUUAGCUUCAGUAUCAUAACAUUUUCAUGUAUAUCUUUAUUAAACUUCACAUCUCCGUUUACAAGGACUUUGUUGGUGAAAGGAUCAAAGAUCCUGUAGCCUUUUUUUAAGCUUCUAUAUCCAACAAAGGUACUUGGUAGUGAUCUUUUUUUCUAGUUUGCUUCUCUUUAUAGCUGGUACAUGAGCAUAAAGAAUGC
This 233-nucleotide long non-coding RNA is filed under the name Gossypium barbadense (sea-island cotton). RNAcentral describes it as "long non-coding RNA (GBAR_LNC009332)". The record is from RNAcentral. Lineage: Eukaryota; Viridiplantae; Streptophyta; Magnoliopsida; Malvales; Malvaceae.